RNAcentral lists this ribosomal RNA (484 nucleotides) under uncultured bacterium. Its description in RNAcentral is "partial 16S ribosomal RNA". It matches the Rfam family "Bacterial small subunit ribosomal RNA", at positions 30 to 507 of the family's 1533-position model. The record is from RNAcentral.
AUUGAACGCUGGCGGCAGGCCUAACACAUGCGAGUCGAGCGGAUGAAGGGAGCUUGCUCCUGGAUUCAGCGGCGGACGGGUGAGUAAUGCCUAGGAAUCUGCCUGGUAGUGGGGGAUAACGUCCGGAAACGGGCGCUAAUACCGCAUACGUCCUGAGGGAGAAAGUGGGGGAUCUUCGGACCUCACGCUAUCAGAUGAGCCUAGGUCGGAUUAGCUAGUUGGUGGGGUAAAGGCCUACCAAGGCGACGAUCCGUAACUGGUCUGAGAGGAUGAUCAGUCACACUGGAAUUGAGACACGGUCCAGACUCCUACGGGAGGCAGCAGUGGGGAAUAUUGGACAAUGGGCGAAAGCCUGAUCCAGCCAUGCCGCGUGUGUGAAGAAGGUCUUCGGAUUGUAAAGCACUUUAAGUUGGGAGAAAGGGCAGUAAGUUAAUACCUUGCUGUGUUGACGUUACCAACAGAAUAAGCACCGGCUAACUUCGUG